CGAGCUAAUAGUUUAAUUAAAAUUUUGGCAUUGGAAGCUAAGGAUUGGAGCUUAUCUUCAUUGCUCGA
RNAcentral lists this transfer RNA (68 nucleotides) under Perotrochus quoyanus. RNAcentral's name for it is "tRNA-Pro". Lineage: Eukaryota; Metazoa; Mollusca; Gastropoda; Pleurotomariida; Pleurotomariidae. RNAcentral also lists the same sequence under 1 other name. The record is from RNAcentral.